This is a long non-coding RNA of Arachis duranensis, 1303 nucleotides long. RefSeq lists it as uncharacterized. The transcript is spliced from 5 exons. The record is from RefSeq and is a predicted model, not a curated record. Lineage: Eukaryota; Viridiplantae; Streptophyta; Magnoliopsida; Fabales; Fabaceae.
CAUAAUUAAUUAAAAUUUAAAAUUUUGAAAGAAAAAAAAACGUCAUUCUCUCUUUUUAUUUUUCAAAAUGAAAGGUGCAGAGUCAGCUGAGAAAGAAUGAAACCCUAAGUUUUUCACGCCAUUUUUGCCUCCGUUCUCGCUGCGGUUUCCGCUGCCGGUGCCGGUGCCGGUGCCGUUACCACUACCAUGUCCAUUGCAAUAGAGAGCUUCUGGAUCAAGCCACCUCUUCUAUCAACGCGUUUUCAGAUUUGUUCUCUCUGCCUGUCGUUGCUGUCACUGUUGCCAUCGCAGUUUCUGCCGCCGUUGCUGCCACAGGUUCUGUCGUCGAUGCCACCGUUAUUGUCGUGGUACAACGCAUUUGUAGAUCUGUUCACUCCCGAGCUUCUUCUUUAACGCCGCUUUCUCUCACUCCAAUUUCUCCUUUGAAUUGAUGCUGGUACUUCUUUUUCUUCUUCUUCUCUAUUAAUUUGCUAAUAUUUCUUCUUUCUUAACAAUAAAUUUCUUCUCUGUCUCGCCGCCUCAGUUCUGUUGCAACUUUCUUACUGUAUCCCCUCUUGUUCUGUUUUUUUUUUUAUUGUUCUUCAUUUGUGUUGAUAAGGUGUCUUGGAAACAAGGUAGGGAAGACAAGAUAAUUGUUCAUUGAAGCUGUUUUGUUUCAUGCCAAUAGAUUAAUGGUGAUGUUGACAUGUGUGUUGUCUUUUAAAUUAUGCAAAUUCAGUAUUGUUACUAGUUGAGGUUAGAUUAUUCUUUACAGUCACUUUUAAAUUAAUGGUGAAUUGACAAGGUGUUGAAAAACAAAGAUUUAUUUAACACAUUCAAACGGUAUCACUUGGAAACAGGCUAGUUCCUCAUGGCUUAUUUGUAGAACUUUAAAGGAAGAAGUGAAUAUUACAGGACCACUUGGAUUUCAAAAUGAGGAAUAUAAUGGGAGCUUGCCUACUUUGGUCUAUAGGCCAUAUUCAUGGACAAAGGGAACAAAUUCAGGUUCUACCCCAGAGCAAGCUGCAACAGGGAACAAAUUCAGGAUUCCGAAGUCUUUUCCUUGUCUUCAUGAUAAAGUUCUCCAAGCUGCUGUUGAUGUUACUAUGAGCCAAUCUCCAAGCCAAAAUGAAAGACAUGGAACAACUUCUGUCUUUGCUAAUUUUGUCAAGAACUUCACCACGGGAAAAGCAGAUCAAAAUGCAAAUAAACCAGCUCAUCCUAAUAUUUUGGAGAAUCUAGAACAAAUAUUCUCAAAUCCUCCCUUCUUAAAGCCUUCAUCAGGCAUAGUUGAUCCACUUGAUAUUCAUAUUGAUAAACCCAU